UACGAGGGGGGCGAGCGUUGUUCGGAAUUAUUGGGCGUAAAGGGCGCGUAGGCGGUGCGGUAAGUCACCUGUGAAACCUCUGGGCUUAACUCAGAGCCUGCAGGCGAAACUGCCGUGCUGGAGUGUGGGAGAGGUGCGUGGAAUUCCCGGUGUAGCGGUGAAAUGCGUAGAUAUCAGGAGGAACACCCGUGGCGAAAGCGGCUCUCUGGGACGGUACUGACGCUGAGACGCGAAAGCGUGGGGAGCAAACAGG
Molecule: ribosomal RNA, 253 nt
Filed under: uncultured bacterium
Lineage: Bacteria
Description: partial 16S ribosomal RNA
Rfam family: Bacterial small subunit ribosomal RNA
Source: RNAcentral